GAUGAACGCUGGCGGCGUGCCUAAUACAUGCAAGUCGAGCGAACGGACGAGAAGCUUGCUUCUCUGAUGUUAGCGGCGGACGGGUGAGUAACACGUGGAUAACCUACCUAUAAGACUGGGAUAACUUCGGGAAACCGGAGCUAAUACCGGAUGAUAUUUUGAACCGCAUGGUUCAAAAUUGAAAAACGGUCUUUCUGUCACUUAUAGAUGGAUCCGCGCUGCAUUAGCUAGUUGGUAAGGUAACGGCUUACCAAGGCAACGAUGCAUAGCCGCCCUGAGAGGGUGAUCGGACACACUGGAACUGAGACACGGUCCAGACUCCUACGGGAGGCAGCAGUAGGGAAUCUUCCGCAAUGGGCGAAAGCCUGACGGAGCAACGCCGCGUGAGUGAUGAAGGUCUUCGGAUCGUAAAACUCUGUUAUUAGGGAAGAACAUAUGUGUAAGUAACUGUGCACAUCUUGACGGUACCUAAUCAGAAAGCCACGGCUAACUACGUG
This 497-nucleotide ribosomal RNA is filed under the name uncultured bacterium. RNAcentral's name for it is "partial 16S ribosomal RNA". It matches the Rfam family "Bacterial small subunit ribosomal RNA", at positions 28 to 507 of the family's 1533-position model. The record is from RNAcentral.